AUUGAACGCUGGCGGCAUGCUUUACACAUGCAAGUCGAACGGUAACAGGCCUUCGGGUGCUGACGAGUGGCGAACGGGUGAGUAAUGCAUCGGAACGUACCCAGAGGUGGGGGAUAACGCAGCUAAAGCUGUGCUAAUACCGCAUGUGAUCUGAGGAUGAAAGCGGGGGACCGAGCAGCAAUGUUUGGCCUCGCGCCUUUGGAGCGGCCGAUGUCGGAUUAGCUAGUUGGUGGGGUAAAGGCCUACCAAGGCGACGAUCCGUAGCUGGUCUGAGAGGACGACCGGCCACACUGGGACUGGAACACGGCCAAGACUCCUACGGGAGGCAGCAGUGGGGAAUUUUGGACAAUGGGCGCAAACCUGAUCCAGCAAUGCCGCGUGCGAGAAGAAGGCCUUCGGGUUGUAAACAGCUUUUGGCAGGAACGAAACGGUGUCCGCUAAUACCGGGCGCUAAUGACGGUACCUGCAGAAUAAGCACCGGCUAACUACGUG
Molecule: ribosomal RNA, 492 nt
Filed under: uncultured bacterium
Lineage: Bacteria
Description: partial 16S ribosomal RNA
Rfam family: Bacterial small subunit ribosomal RNA
Source: RNAcentral